RNAcentral lists this ribosomal RNA (239 nucleotides) under uncultured bacterium. RNAcentral's name for it is "partial 16S ribosomal RNA". It matches the Rfam family "Bacterial small subunit ribosomal RNA", at positions 122 to 355 of the family's 1533-position model. The record is from RNAcentral.
UAACCUGCCCAAGAGACUGGGAUAACACCUGGAAACAGAUGCUAAUACCGGAUAACAACACUAGACGCAUGUCUAGAGUUUAAAAGAUGGUUCUGCUAUCACUCUUGGAUGGACCUGCGGUGCAUUAGCUAGUUGGUAAGGCAACGGCUUACCAAGGCAAUGAUGCAUAGCCGAGUUGAGAGACUGAUCGGCCACAUUGGGACUGAGACACGGCCAAACUCCUACGGGAGGCAGCAGUC